UGCAGGUUUGGAGGUUUGCAGGCCGUGAGAACAAGUGAAAAACCCUUAAUGUGAAAGCUUGACUGACUUGAUUGAGGAGCAACAAAGAGAGUUCAGGGGCUGGAGAAGAGUGGACUAAAGUCAGGGAGGCAAAGGCUGUUGGAGAUUUGACAGAUCAUUUGGUGCUUACAGAAUUAGACACUGAGUGGGUGAAAUGGGAAUCCAGUGGAGGUUUUUUAGAGAAGGAAUGGCCCAAAUUUGACUUCGAUUUUAAGAAGAUUGUCCUGACUGGUGUAUUGUAGCCAGAUUACAGAGAGGCAAAGAUGGAAGCAGGAGAUCAGCUUGCAGGCUGCUGGAGUAAUCAGGAAAUAACUGCAUCCUCUGGAGCUGAAAAUGAAAAACUGAGUAGCUGGUGGAAGAAGGGAGAUGGGCUUGGAACUUACAAACUAUGUUUCUGGAUGCAUCACAACAUUUGCAAGAGAGACGUUUUGGUGUCCCUGUGGGUUAAAAAAAAACACAACCUUUGCUGAUAUAAACUGAAAAUAAAUUUGGAAUGAGUUGUGUGCACUUGGAAAUGAGAAGGUGAGUUUGCCAGUUAUGAAUUGCAUAUGUAUAUGUGUGUGUGUAGUAUAUGGAUAUGCAUAAUAUGUACGAAUUUAUGUUUGGUAGGAUGUAUAUAUUGGAAGUACAUAUUGUUAAAUUAUUUAAAUAGAAGGGUUUUGGACAGAUGAGGGGGUUAUUAAGGACAAAUUAGAAUUUAAAAAUUUACUUUGGGAUUUUAAGAGAAAAAUAUUUUCUCAGGAUAGUUUGGCAUACUGAAAAAAGUGUAUAUUAAAAAAAAAACCUUUGUUGAUGUAAACUGAAAAUAAAUUUCUAAUGAAUUGCCCUUGUAAAUGAGGUGAGUUUGCCAGUUAUAAAUUGCAUAUGUACAUGCAUAUGUGUAGUAUAUGAAUAUGCAUAGGUAUGUAUAUAUUUAUGUUUGGUUAUAUGUAUAUUAAUGUUGAGGGCAGGUGUUGUUAAUAACAUUAUUUAAAGAGAAGGAGUUUGGGACAGACAGAUGAGGAAGUUAUGAAGGGCAAAUGAGAAUUUUUAAAAUGUACUUUGGGAUUUUGAGAGAAAAAGAUUUUCUCAGAAUAGUUUGGCACAGUCAAAAGGAUUUAUAUAUAUAACUUUUAAGCUUGUGAGUUUCUUUUACAUACUGUCUGUCUAAAAGCAAUACUAUGUACAAUGGACAAAAAAUUUAAAGGCAAAUAAACCUUGCUGUGGGCUGAAACUCACUUGUGCAUCCUAUCCAAGAGAACAAAUAAUGACCAGCUUAAAGCCAGGGUGUUUCGUUUCCUUCCUUCCUUCCUUCCUUCCUUCCUUCCUUCCUUCCUUCCUUCCUUCCUUCCUUCCUUCCUUCCUUCCUUCCUUCCUUCCUUCCUUCCUUCCUUCCUUCUUUGGUUAAUGGAUUUGUCAAGGGCAAAGAUGGUUUAGUUAUGAAGUGUGACUGUCUCGCUGUAUACAAUGUGAGAAUAAGAUAAAACUCCAUGGAUGAAAGAUGGAAGAAAUAAGUAGGUGAAAGAUAAUGCUAUCUGGAAAAGAAAUUUAUUAUAUUAGGCAGUUUGUGAUUUCACAGUGUAUUAGAGGUUUACCUUCUGUGGUGAGGAUGCCAGCUCAGAAGGAAACUUAUCAUUCACGCUUGUAUUUUCAUCCUGGAAGAAAAUUUUAUGUAAGUAAUAAUACUAGAUGAUAUGGCACAAUAUUAUUCUAUCUGAAAAGCAAAGCUGUGAAAGAAAAGUUUUGGCUUUUCUUUAUAGGACUAUGUCAUUUGUUUAAUGGUAAAUUAAUAUAAGCAUUUUUCUUGGAAGAUUGGGGGGCAUGUGCUUCUAAAAUGGAAAUGCUAGGACAUUUAAACACUGCUAAUAUUGUAGGGCUAAAUAUAUAUUUUUCUGGCUAAAUUGACAAAAUGUUGCACUAAACAAUAUAGCCAACUCCUUUUAAAGCUGAAAUUGUUACAUGAAGUGUUAACUAGAAUAUGAUCAUUUCUGAAUGAUGUUUCAUACCUUUAUAAAUGUCUUUUGCCCUUCGUUUACUCAUCAGUGCUUUUUGAUUCUCACUAAAUAAGAAUUAUUUAAAGAUCAAGCAACUUAAGCAGUCACUUUUAAAUUAUCUUAACAUUAUGCAAUCCUUGCCACUCUUACCAUUGGAAGGCCAUAAAAUAAUUUGAAUAGAAUAUGUGACCAGCUAAAAUGGAGAUGAUUUUAUGAUUUUAUUAUUCAUGAAACUUUAAUAUUAAUAGUUUAGAGCCUGAAUAUCUCCUUAUAUUAAAUUAUGGUGCAACAUAAAACUGUCAGACUAGGUUGUAUGCUCAUAUUCCCCAUGGAGUUUCCUUAUGUUUUCCUUUAAGGUUUCUUUCCUCUAAUAUCUAUAAAUUCAAAUUUUGGUUCAUAUGUUUCUUCUGAUAUCCCUAAAUCCUUAAUUCACUGACUUUUUUCUUUCUUUUGGGCUUGAUGUCAGGAACUGAUAAUGUGUUAGAAAUAACAUUUUUUAUAAUAACAUAAAAAUUCAUUAGUGAUUAAUAUGCUAAGUUGAUAAACUCUUAAGAGUUACAAUAGUUUUCUUGGGAUCAAUCCUGGUGCAGAUGUUUCUCUAGACUGCUGUGAUCUUUUCAAAGGAGACUUUCUCCCUAUUCCAGAACUCAGGGAAAUGUGACACCUAAAUACCUCCAAAGGAGAUCUACUGCCGUAAAGAAUGGUGAUCAUGUGCACUGGCUUUGGGAUAAUACAGAAUUGUAAUCUGUCUCUUUCUUGCUAAAGGAUCUGGAACAUACCUCUGAGUCUUGGCUUUCUCAUUUGCCUAAUGAGGCUAAUUGCACCUCACUAGCACAGUUGUUGCAAGGACUACAUAAUAUCAUUCAUGAAAAGCACCUAAUAGGGUCCCCAAUACAUGGUAAUCAUUAGGAUUUUUAUUGUAACUGAAUCAGUAGGCUAUUGAACUCAGAAGGCCAUAUUCUUAUUUCAUCUCUUCUAUUUAGAGUUAUAGACUAGAACCCUAGAAAGGUUUUCUGAAGGGUUAUCAUAGUUAUAAUAUUUCCGGUUAGUUCUUUGGUCCCUGUAGUGACUAAUGUUCUAAGUGGAUAAACUCUUAAGGGUUAGAAUAGAUUUUUGGGAUCAGCCCUGGUGAAAAUGUCUCUCUGGACUGUGGGAUCUUUUCAAAGGAGACUUCCUGCCCCCCCUACCGCAAUAUGAGGGAAAAACAGCAGUUGCCUGCUUCCUAAUUCUGUCACUUAAGGGACUAAAAGCAAGAGCCCCUUAUUCUAUAUACUAAGAAGGCCACAUACCACAGUUCUAAAUAUUUAAAAGUUAUAAAGUAAAGCUAAUAAAAUCUCCAGUGUAAUGUUCUAUGCUCUUAGCUUAACAAAUAUUCCUUCAUAAAGACUUAGAAUGCCAGGUUCAAGUUUUAAAUGCUCCUUGAAUUCCUUGAAAACUCCUUGAAGUCCCAUGAUGAAACAUGGUGGCUGCCGGCCAUGUUUAGAUUCAUAUUAUAAAGUAUUUAUAUUAAAGUUUCAUGUGUAAUAAAAUCUUCUUCAUUUUAGCUGGUCACAUACUCUAUUCAAAUUAGUUCAUGGCUUUCCAAUGGUAAGAGUGGCAAGGACUGUAUGAUGUCAUGAUACUUUAAAAUGUCUCUUUUUAUCUCAAGUUCUGUCCUGCACCAUGAAGGGCUUUGUGUGCAUACAUGGGGUUUUUCUGCAUGCAGAAUGAGGCUGAAACAGAAAAGAACCAUCUAAAACACAGGAUCCAGGGUAAGGGCUAUUCCUGUGAGAUUGUAAAAGGUGUUAUUAUUCUUGAAUGCCACCCAAGGUUGACUGCAACUUGCCUCUCUUUAAGUCAGUGAAUUUGGAUUUUAAAGUGAAGUUUCAUCAUACAAACUGGAAGAGAUCCAUGACACUUUAUUUGAAAUUGGGACAUCAGAAUUUAGUUGGGUCUUUCUAUUACUGAACCAUGAAAAAAUUCUUUAACAUUUCUGCAAUGCGUAAGAGUAAAAUUAGAUCAUAAAUUAGCAAUCUGUUGCUGCAUAAUCAAUUAACCUCCAAUCUUAGCAGCUUCAAACAACAAAUACAUGUAUAAACUUAGUUUCUGGAGGUCAGGAAUUUGGGAGUUCAGGUAGAUGGUUCUGACUCAGAGUUUUCUUUCUUUCUUUUUUUUUUUUUGAGGCAGAGUCUUGCUCUGUUGAUUUGAAACUUUGAUUCUGACUCAUUUCCAAUGUAAGGCCUUAGUGCUAUAAAAUUUCCCCUCACAUUGCUUUAACUGUGUCUCAUAAAGUUUGAUUCUACUGCAGUUCUGUUCAUCUCCUUUGCUUUCCUCAUUUUUAAAUAUCAUCCUCUUAGCUAUCAGAUGGCAUUAUAAUUUUUUAAAUCUAAAAUGUGAUUUACAAAACUCAUAAGAAAAUAAAUGGUGUAUUAUAUGUACUCAUAAUUCUCUUUCUGUUUUGUUCCCUCAUCCUUUCUGACAUUCCAAGAUUCCUUUAAAAAAAUUCUUCCUGCUUGAAUACCUUUCCCUAACAACCAGUCUUUAAAGAUAGAUCUGUCAGCUGAAAAUUAUCUUAAUAUUUUAGAUUUGAUAAGGUUCAACAGAUAUAGAUUUCACUGUUGACAAUUCUUUAAUUUCUGUACUUCAAAAAUAUUGUGCCACUUCUUUUAGCCUUCAUGGUUUCAGAUGAGAAAUCUACUGUCUAUUUAAUUUAGUGCCUCCUUAAAAGGAAUGUGUAAUUUCUCUCAGGCUGCUUUUGAGACCCUUUUCUUGUCUUUAA
Long non-coding RNA from Callithrix jacchus (white-tufted-ear marmoset), 4770 nucleotides. The record is from Ensembl. NCBI's taxonomy places the organism in Eukaryota, Metazoa, Chordata, Mammalia, Primates, Cebidae.